UACGUAGGGUGCAAGCGUUAAUCGGAAUUACUGGGCGUAAAGCGCGCGUAGGCGGUUCAGUAAGUUGAAUGUGAAAUCCCCGGGCUCAACCUGGGAACUGCAUCCAAAACUGCUGAGCUAGAGUACGGUAGAGGGGAGUGGAAUUUCCUGUGUAGCGGUGAAAUGCGUAGAUAUAGGAAGGAACACCAGUGGCGAAGGCGACUACCUGGACUGGUACUGACACUGAGGUGCGAAAGCGUGGGGAGCAAACAGG
RNAcentral lists this ribosomal RNA (253 nucleotides) under uncultured bacterium. RNAcentral's name for it is "partial 16S ribosomal RNA". It matches the Rfam family "Bacterial small subunit ribosomal RNA", at positions 524 to 776 of the family's 1533-position model. The record is from RNAcentral.